CUUGUGCGUAAACUGGUCAGCCUGCCCGAUCGCCAAGUUAGCAAAGCUGAUGAGCAAAUAUUCUUUUCUCAGCUGAAGCUGACAAACAAACAGCACGUCUAGUAUGCACUUCAUCACCAUCACGAGCAGAGCUCCAGCCUGCCUCUCUGGUUCCCACUGAUCCAUCAUGCUGUCUGAAUGCCCAGAGAAAACCUAUUACUCUGAACCAGCACAACACAUUAGCAGUGAGCUGCAGGUGUCUCUCCUCUUCUGUGCUGUGCUCAUUCCUCACCAUCCAUGGAUGCAACGUUAUGUUUACAGCACCCUAGCAGUCAAACUGCACAACAGUGAAGUCGAGGUCUGUAUGCAGUUAUGCCCCUGCAGACUGCUUCGGUCCCUGAGGCAAAAAGCUCAGCGUUGUCCUCUGGUGGUAAUUAGAAGAAGUACAGUUUGGCCAA
This is a long non-coding RNA of Monopterus albus (swamp eel), 437 nucleotides long. RefSeq lists it as uncharacterized. The transcript is spliced from 3 exons. The record is from RefSeq and is a predicted model, not a curated record. Lineage: Eukaryota; Metazoa; Chordata; Actinopteri; Synbranchiformes; Synbranchidae.